UCUUGGUCAUUUAGAGGAAGUAAAAGUCGUAACAAGGUUUCCGUAGGUGAACCUGCGGAAGGAUCAUUACUGAAUUGUCAACAAGAGUUGUUGCUGGUCCUCGAAUGGGGGCAUGUGCACGCUCUGUUCACACAUCCACUCACACCCUGUGCACUCUCUGUAGUUCUAUGGCCAGGGGGCCUGCCCUCCUGCUGUGGUUCUGCAUCUUUACACAUACACUGUAACAAAGUCUCAUGGAAUGCAUGUCGCGUUUAACGCAAUACAAUACAACUUUCAGCAACGGAUCUCUUGGCUCUCGCAUCGAUGAAGAACGCAGCGAAAUGCGAUAAGUAAUGUGAAUUGCAGAAUUCAGUGAAUCAUCGAAUCUUUGAACGCACCUUGCGCCCUUUGGCCAUUCCGAAGGGCAUGCCUGUUUGAGUAUCAUGAACACCUCAACUCUUCAUGGUUUUCCAUGAUGAGCUUGGACUUUGGGGGACUUGCUGGCCUACAGUCAGCUCCUCUAAAAUAAAUCAGCUYGCCAGUGUUUGGUGGGUAUCGCAGGUGUGAUAACUAUCUACGCUUGUGGUUUUCCACCAAGUAACCUUCAGCAGUGGAGGUUCACUGGAGCUCACAGACGUCUCUCCUCAGUGAGGGACAGCCCUUUGAAUGUUUGAUCUCAAAUCAGGUAGGACUACCCGCUGAACUUAAGCAUAUCAAUAAGCGGAGGAAAAGGAACU
This 716-nucleotide ribosomal RNA is filed under the name uncultured Tomentella. Its description in RNAcentral is "eukaryotic LSU rRNA". The stretch from base 269 to 423 matches the Rfam family "5.8S ribosomal RNA". Lineage: Eukaryota; Fungi; Basidiomycota; Agaricomycetes; Thelephorales; Thelephoraceae. The record is from RNAcentral.